GGCGCCAUAGCCAAGUGGUAAGGCAGAGGUCUGCAAAACCUCGAUUCACCAGUUCAAAUCUGGUUGGCGCCUCCA
Molecule: transfer RNA, 75 nt
Filed under: Oscillospiraceae bacterium
Lineage: Bacteria; Bacillati; Bacillota; Clostridia; Eubacteriales; Oscillospiraceae
Description: tRNA-Cys
Rfam family: tRNA
About the family: Transfer RNA (tRNA) molecules are approximately 80 nucleotides in length.
Source: RNAcentral